Long non-coding RNA from Gopherus evgoodei (Goodes thornscrub tortoise), 1430 nucleotides. RefSeq lists it as uncharacterized. Lineage: Eukaryota; Metazoa; Chordata; Testudines; Testudinidae. The record is from RefSeq and is a predicted model, not a curated record. The transcript has 3 exons.
GGUCUUUCAGGUCAUCUUUCAAGUUUUUUUUUCACAGCCAUGAGGUCUAUGAUCUCUCUCUUUAAGUGAAAGCUGAGAUUCACACACACUGGCAGAUUCCAGGGACUGGGGCUUUACGAAAAACACAAAGGCCAUGUUGACAGGACAAAAUUAUAUCGACCUAAUUUAUGUCGGCAUACAGCCGCCAUAGUUAUUAAAUCACUUGUGUGUGCUCACACUUGGCUCCUUGUGUCAGUGGCGUGUGUCCUCACCAGCAGCGCUUGUAUCAAUUGUAUUGUCUGUGGGGAUUUUGGGAUGGCUCCUGAAGGCCAGGAACCCUUGACAUAAGCAAAGUAGUGUCUGCACUGACACUGCUCCGACCUAAUCACAUCAUCUGUGACUCUACGCUGCUUGGGGAGUGGGUGUUACUAAAUCAGCAUAGAGAGGCACUGACUUUGAUAGGAGCCAAAUUUAAGUGAAGACAGUUCCACAGCUAGGUUGACACAAGACAGUUUAUGUCAAUCUCACCCUUUAGUAUAGAUCAUUAUCAAAAAUGGUUUAGGUGGACACUUUUUUUUUUUUUUAGUAGCAAUGGGCUGCCAAGGCAUUCAAGCAUCCAUAUCCAGAUUAGGUUUACAACCUAUGUAAGGUGGCGACCUCACCUCCACUGCAAAGGCCAAGAGUGGAUCGAGCAAGGAGGAGGAAAUACUGGAUGAAGAGUGGGAGGGAGACCCCGAGGCAGAGGACAACUCGGAGGUCAGAGCAGCCACGCGCCCUUCUCUACCCUGGAGGAGGCUAGCCAGUCACAGCUGUCGGAUCUUGGCGAAGUGCAAACAGAAGAGGAGGCCCAUGAUAUGGCCUGGGGAGCCCAGCCUCCCUCUUUGUUAUUGCUGGCUGAACAGCUGCGCACAACUAGAAAGCGGCCACGAAGAACUAAAGAGGACUUUCUGUGUGAAGUCACGAUGCUUUCCGUGGCCAAAAAAAAAGAAUUGAAGGAGUGCCAGGACAGUGAGAAGAGGGGCCGAAAGGAGAACGCAGCACGCCAGAAUGAAGCCACGGAGCAGCUCUUAAACGUUAUGGAGUGCCAAGCAGACAGGCUCCAGACUCUACUAGCACUGCAAACCGAGCAGUUCCGCACAUGCCCUCCCCUGCAGCUGCUGUCGCAGAACUCUUUCCCCUGCACCUCCCAGACACUGCCAGCACACUUAUCAGCCUCCUGGUUUCAGUCUGUACCCUCUGCAUUCCACUCCUGCCCCAUCACAGUCCAGCCCUGCACACUCCCAGUAUCCACUGCACUCAACACCUGUCCCUCUGCAGUUUAGCCCUGCUGAAGUACAGUACCUACUGCACUGUACUCCAGAGGACAAAGUUGCACAUGAUACCUGGACAUACACAAAUCUUUAACCGUCCCGGGACCCCACCUCCUCCUGGGACCCUCCCUUCCCCCCAUU